UUAAAUCUUCUCCGUCCCCGUUUCCGUUGCCUGUUCUUCCUCACGUUUCUUUCCUGCCUCGCAGUUCCUCGGGCAGAAGCUGAGCUGUGAAACAGGAGAGUUGGGAACGGAGUGAACAAUGGGUGGGGGGUGAAGAGCUGCUGCUGGCACCUGGGGAGUUGUGUAGUGGAGUUGGCCAAUCGUGUAAUGUAUGGAAUGUUUUUAGUGGCUCCUGGGAAAAAAAGAAAGGGGAGGUUUUAAUUUAUGUGGUAGGUUUUUUUAUUUCCUCAGUCUGCCCAGUAAAAGCUGUUCAACAACAUUCUGUUAUUUGCCCCUCACAUACCUUGCUGUGGAGCCUGGUCAAAUGAGUGUCCUUGGCAGAGCUUUCCUGUGGAAUAUCCUCUGAGCAUCCCCUCUGGGGUCUGCACAAGGGUUUCAGUAGUGGAGAAACUUUUCUAACCCCUCUUCGCUGAGAGGGUAAUUGUGCUCUGGAUCACUGCUCAGUGCUCAGCCCUGUGUUUUAAAAAAUACUGCAAGGAAAUGCACAUGCACACUGAUUUGGUUUUGUAUCAGUCACAUGUAUCUGUAAAAAAGGGAGUGUGUGUUCAUGCAUGAUGUAUCUUUCUAGUAUCUUUCUGGAUGUUGAUUAAUCCUAAAUGAACUUACCUAUGAUGAAAAAUUGUCUAAUGCUUUGCAACUUAAUUUUGAUUUCCUACCAAUAUCAGUAUAACCUGUUAAAGUAGUGAGAAAAUGCAACUGAAAUAUUGUACCCAUGUCAUAUUCUUGCAUUUUGCUAAAUGGUAACUUGCUUGCUCAUUUCAGGUAAUGAUUUUGUAGCCUAAUCUUCUGUGAUAAAACUGAUAAACUCUCAGGUAUCUAAUGCCGCAUGAAAAUAGUUUCAUAUCAAAUCCUGUUUCAAUGAUAUAAAUGCUGGUUUAUAAUGUCACUAUGAUCCCCAAAGCAAACUGUGGGAACUAUUUUGUAAACUCCCAGUUAAAACUUGUAAUGAAAGCGUCAUGUUAAGAGGAAACCCACUAUAAUUUUGCAUUAAAUUUGGCAGAAAAUCACCCUCCUGGCAUUCCAGCUGCUCCUCAGGUAUCAGAGGGGCUGGGACAGCUGGGUUUAGCUUCUGAGCCGUGGCCAGUUCAGCAGCAGACAUGCAGAGCUGGUGUGACACUGGAAGGAGAUGACCUUUGGAGCUCCUUCCAACCCAGCCCACCCCGUGGUUCUGUGCUGGUGGAGGUACCAGCUUCUUUGGUCUUGCUGGGAAUGCUAUGCUCCCGAUUUUUGUGUGUUUGAGCAGAAGAAAUUAACCUGGAAUGUGGAGAGAGCUCAGGACAGCUGCAGCUGUGCAGUUGCUGAGCUUUAUAUCCAGGAUACAGGAGAUUUUCUCUCCAGCAUGCAGAGUGAGAUGCAAGCACAGCGUCUCAGAGAAGCAGAGUCACAGAACACCCUCGGCUGGAAGGGACCCACAAGGAUCAUCGAGCUGAACUCCCGUCCCUCCACAGGACACCCCAAUAAUCCCAGCAUGUGUCUGAAAACACUGCCUAAAAGCUUCUGGAACUGUGGCAGGCUUGGGACCAUUACCUGCCCUGGGGGAGCCUGACCACUGUCUGGGUGAGGAGCCUUUUCCUAAAGUCCAGCGUAAACUCCACUGAUACUGCUU
Long non-coding RNA from Pyrgilauda ruficollis (rufous-necked snowfinch), 1645 nucleotides. RefSeq lists it as uncharacterized. The transcript is spliced from 3 exons. The record is from RefSeq and is a predicted model, not a curated record. Lineage: Eukaryota; Metazoa; Chordata; Aves; Passeriformes; Passeridae.